Molecule: ribosomal RNA, 468 nt
Filed under: uncultured bacterium
Lineage: Bacteria
Description: partial 16S ribosomal RNA
Rfam family: Bacterial small subunit ribosomal RNA
Source: RNAcentral
GACGAACGCUGGCGGCGUGCUUAACACAUGCAAGUCGAACGGAAAGGCCCUGCUUUUGUGGGGUGCUCGAGUGGCGAACGGGUGAGUAACACGUGAGUAACCUGCCCUUGACUUUGGGAUAACUUCAGGAAACUGGGGCUAAUACCGGAUAUGAGCUCCUGCUGCAUGGUGGGGGUUGGAAAGUUUCGGCGGUUGGGGAUGGACUCGCGGCUUAUCAGCUUGUUGGUGGGGUAGUGGCUUACCAAGGCUUUGACGGGUAGCCGGCCUGAGAGGGUGAACGGCCACAUUGGGACUGAGGUACGGGCCAGACUCCUACGGGAGGGAGCAGUGGGGAAUAUUGCACCAUGGGCGGAAGCCUGAUGCAGCAACGCCGCGUGCGGGAUGACGGCCUUCGGGUUGUAAACCGCUUUCGCCUGUGACGAAGCGUGAGUGACGGUAAUGGGUAAAGAAGCACCGGCUAACUACGUG